AUUGAACGCUGGCGGCAUGCUUUACACAUGCAAGUCGAACGCGGUCGAGGGGCAACCCUCGACUGAGUGGCGAACGGGUGAGUAAUGCAUCGGAACGUACCCCGUCGUGGGGGAUAACCAGUCGAAAGACUGGCUAAUACCGCAUACGACCUUUCGGGGUGAAAGCGGGGGACCGCAAGGCCUCGCGCGAUGGGAGCGGCCGAUGCCGGAUUAGCUAGUAGGUAGGGUAAAGGCCUACCUAGGCGACGAUCCGUAGCUGGUCUGAGAGGAUGAUCAGCCACACUGGGACUGAGACACGGCCCAGACUCCUACGGGAGGCAGCAGUGGGGAAUUUGCGCAAUGGGCGAAAGCCUGACGCAGCGACGCCGCGUGAGGGAUGACGGCCUGGUGU
RNAcentral lists this ribosomal RNA (391 nucleotides) under uncultured bacterium. RNAcentral's name for it is "bacterial SSU rRNA". It matches the Rfam family "Bacterial small subunit ribosomal RNA", at positions 28 to 422 of the family's 1533-position model. The record is from RNAcentral.